This 1964-nucleotide long non-coding RNA is filed under the name Mus musculus (house mouse). RNAcentral's name for it is "long non-coding RNA chr6:54496558-54498522". Lineage: Eukaryota; Metazoa; Chordata; Mammalia; Rodentia; Muridae. The record is from RNAcentral.
AACACCUCCCUGGGCCCUGAAUAGAAAGCCUGGAAUUCUCCAGGGUCCUCUGCCCGUGGGUCGUGACCCCUUCAGGAUUAUGUCGAAUAUCCUACAGAUCAGACGUUUACAUUGCGAUUCAUAAAAGUAGCGAAAUUAAAGUUAUGAAGUAGCCACAAGAUAAUUUUGUGUUUGGGGGGUGUGGCACUCCAACAGGAGGUUCUCAGCAUUAGGAAGGUCAGGACCCUCUGUUUGGCAGGGUUUUCUUCUCUGUAGACGCUUUCCUCUCUGGCUCUUCUUCUGUAAGAAGGGCAUUUAGUGUACCUUUGUUAAAGGCCAGAACAAAACGCCUACGGUUUCGCACUCUGCCCUGUGCUAGGGGCUCUCCUUAGAGUCAUCGCCACAUACAGAAAUAAGCAGUUUUACUCAGAACCCUGCAGUUUCAUCUGGUCCUGACUCUGAUCAUCCCAGAAGCCUAAAGGAAACCCCAUAAUAUCUGUGACGUAUAAUUUUGCGUUCUCGCUUGCCUAUAGAAUAGACAGUUUUUUCUAGGGCUCUUAAUUCUUAAUUUUUAAUGCUCUUGGCUACAUGUGAUUAAUUGUCAAAUCUUGAAGGAAAAAAAUCACAUAAAUACCUUAUUCUCAUCCAAAAUAGCUCAUAGAGAGUUUUCUAAACUGGCUAGAGGUGACAUCUCUCACUGCUCGUGAUACGGGCUUCUCUUUAGAAAUCCUUUGUUUCUCCAAAUGUGUGAAUUUAGUUCUUUCCUGGCCUACUACUUUUUCCAAGUUCUGUGGAGCAGAGGGCAGGCUAGCUGCUGAUGACAGAGUCAUUUAGCAGUUGUAUGCUAUGUUAAAGAAGUGGCCUGGCUGGGAGGGCUCUAGAGUCCUGAAAGCUGCAGUUGCCCAAUGGAGAAGGAUGCUUCCUCUACACAUCCCCUCCUCCACUUUAAACACAGAUAAUCCAAGAGUCACAAUAACCGCUCUCCAAUGAGCACAGAUUCCAAAGCGAGUGUAUAAUGAACGAUAAAGGGGGGAAAGGAGGAAGGACAGAGUUGUGGGAGAUGAUUGACAGGUGGAAGAGAGGAUUCUGGGAAGAUGGCAAGGUAGGAGGCACCACAGUCUGCCACUCUGCCUGGAUGGUGGUGGUUCUGGCACUCUCUGUGGCACAUGAAUUCUGGCAUCUGCUGGAGUCUUACUGUGUCCAGGCAAGAAAGACUACAGUUGUUUUUGCUCAGUUUCAGCUCAUGAGACAUCAUCAUCUGGCCAUUUCUCAGCCAUACCCCCUAACAAACAGUCAUGUCCGUACCCAUGGACCAGCUAACCCUUAUUCAGACCUUGGGGAUCCAUGCUCCAGUGUCUCCUCACUUUUUCAGACCACAGAGGUUCAGAUACUGAUGUCAGUGUCCAUCAUUUUCUCACCCCGCCCUUUCCCCAGAUUGUUGCAAGCCCCUCCCCUUCAGGCUGAAAGGCUUGAUGGGAGAUUCUCCCCUUCCAUUUUUUUUUCUGUUUCUCAUUUGGGGAUUCAAACACUAAUGACUAGCUCUCCAUUAGUCACCUUUCCUUUUAUAGUGAUAAAAAUACCUUACAAGAGCAACUUCAGGGAGAAAAGCUUCACACAUUUGUGGGGGCAGGCACUUGAGGUAACUGAGUAUCUUGCACCUACAGUGGGAAGCAGAGAGCUCUGAACACAGGUGCUCAGCUUGUUACUCCAUUUAAUGCAUGCCUGGAUACAAGCCUGGGAAUAGGGUGGAUCUUCUACCUCAAUUUACUUGAUCAAAACAACAACAACAACAACAACAACAAAAACCAAAACCAAAAACAAAAAACAAAAAACCUCUCAUAAGAAUGGCAAAGGUUAGAUAACUAGGAAUCUAUCCAGUCUGGAUAACUAAGAAUCUAUCCAGUCUAGAUAACUAGGAAUGCCCAGAGGCCUAUUACCUAGCAGAUUCAACUCUUUCAAGGAAACUCAAAGGUAAACUUAUGUAU